AUUGAACGCUGGCGGCAUGCCUUACACAUGCAAGUCGAACGGUAACGGGCCUUCGGGUGCCGCCGAGUGGCGAACGGGUGAGUAAUACAUCGGAACGUGCCCGAUCGUGGGGGAUAACGAGGCGAAAGCUUUGCUAAUACCGCAUACGAUCUACGGAUGAAAGCAGGGGACCGCAAGGCCUUGCGCGGACGGAGCGGCCGAUGGCAGAUUAGGUAGUUGGUGGGAUAAAAGCUUACCAAGCCGACGAUCUGUAGCUGGUCUGAGAGGAUGAUCAGCCACACUGGGACUGAGACACGGCCCAGACUCCUACGGGAGGCAGCAGUGGGGAAUUUUGGACAAAGGGCGCAAGCCUGAUCCAGCCAUGCCGCGUGCAGGAUGAAGGCCUUCGGGUUGUAAACUGCUUUUGUACGGAACGAAAAGCCUUCUUUUAAUACAGGAGGGUCAUGACGGUACCGUAAGAAUAAGCACCGGCUAACUACGUG
This 482-nucleotide ribosomal RNA is filed under the name uncultured bacterium. Its description in RNAcentral is "partial 16S ribosomal RNA". It matches the Rfam family "Bacterial small subunit ribosomal RNA", at positions 30 to 507 of the family's 1533-position model. The record is from RNAcentral.